Molecule: ribosomal RNA, 472 nt
Filed under: uncultured Desulfovibrio sp.
Lineage: Bacteria; Pseudomonadati; Thermodesulfobacteriota; Desulfovibrionia; Desulfovibrionales; Desulfovibrionaceae
Description: bacterial SSU rRNA
Rfam family: Bacterial small subunit ribosomal RNA
Source: RNAcentral
ACGGGGCCCGCACAAGCGGUGGAGUAUGUGGUUUAAUUCGACGCAACGCGCAGAACCUUACCUAGACUUGACAUCCCGGGGAUUUUCUGGAAACAGAGAAGUGCUUUAGCAAUAAAGAACCCGGUGACAGGUGCUGCAUGGUUGUCGUCAGCUCGUGCCGUGAGGUGUCGGCUUAAGUGCCAUAACGAGCGCAACCCCUAUCUUUAAUUGCCAUCAUUCAGUUGGGCACUUUAGAGAGACUGCCGGUGUUAAGCCGGAGGAAGGUGGGAUGACGUCAAGUCCUCAUGGCCUUUAUGUCUAGGGCUACACACGUACUACAAUGGCAGGUACAAAGGGCAGCGACACAGCGAUGUGAUGCGAAUCCCGAAAAGCCUGUCUCAGUCCGGAUCGGAGUCUGCAACUCGACUCCGUGAAGUUGGAAUCGCUAGUAAUCGUGGAUCAGCAUGCCACGGUGAAUACGUUCCCGGGCCUU